This 458-nucleotide long non-coding RNA is filed under the name Dermacentor andersoni. RNAcentral's name for it is "uncharacterized LOC126545847". The record is from RNAcentral. Lineage: Eukaryota; Metazoa; Arthropoda; Arachnida; Ixodida; Ixodidae.
UUAUCCAGUAGGCUGCUCCCCGUUUGCCAUCCUCCCAACGUCCCCUUCGGGAGGUGACCUAGAGCGCCACUCGUAAUCUGGCCGACGGUGUUUUGUUAGAUUACCUUCCCUCACCCAUGGCGUCCUGCUGGCAGUCGGAACCUUGCUCCUCGCCCGCCACUGCUGAUGACCGUUUUGGAUGGCGGUGAGCGAGGAGAACGUCCGAGGCAGUUUUGCCAAAAGAUCAGAUGCUUCUGAGCAACCAUCCUUGCACGGCUGUGGCCGUUUGCACAUCGGCCGGCAACUGGACAUCAAAGUCCGAGUGUGGCCACUAACCCCAGGACCUGCGCAGCAACCCCUCGUCACGGCGAGCUUCGUCUCUGCGAGCUUCGCAUCAAGCGUCCUGAACGCUCAUCAGGUGGUCUUUGUGCAUAUUCUAGAUGGUCUAGCUGGCGAGGGUGGCGCACGCCUUAGGGAAG